UGGGGAAUUUUGGACAAUGGGGGCAACCCUGAUCCAGCAAUGCCGCGUGUGUGAAGAAGGCCUUCGGGUUGUAAAGCACUUUUGUCCGGGAAGAAAUCCCCUGCCCUAAUACGGCGGGGGGAUGACGGUACCGGAAGAAUAAGCACCGGCUAACUACGUGCCAGCAGCCGCGGUGGUACGUAGGGUGCGAGCGUUAAUCGGAAUUACUGGGCGUAAGGCGUGCGCAGGCGGUGAUGUAAGACCGAUGUGAAAUCCCCGGGCUCAACCUGGGAACUGCAUUGGUGACUGCAUUGCUCGAGUAUGGCAGAGGGGGGUGGAAUUCCACGUGUAGCAGUGAAAUGCGUAGAGAUGUGGAGGAACACCGAUGGCGAAGGCAGCCCCCUGGGCCAAUACUGACGCUCAUGCACGAAAGCGUGGGGAGCAAACAGGAUUAGAUACCCUGGUAGUCCACGCCCUAAACGAUGUCAACUGGUUGUCGGGCCUUCAUUGGCUUGGUAACGUAGCUAACGCGUGAAGUUGACCGCCUGGGGAGUACGGUCGCAAGAUU
Molecule: ribosomal RNA, 547 nt
Filed under: uncultured bacterium
Lineage: Bacteria
Description: partial 16S ribosomal RNA
Rfam family: Bacterial small subunit ribosomal RNA
Source: RNAcentral